This 436-nucleotide ribosomal RNA is filed under the name Mesabolivar huberi. RNAcentral describes it as "partial 16S ribosomal RNA". Lineage: Eukaryota; Metazoa; Arthropoda; Arachnida; Araneae; Pholcidae. The record is from RNAcentral.
UUUCUUUAGAAUUAAUUAAAGAUAAAACCUGCUCCAUGUUUUUUAAAAUAAAUAGCCGCAGUCAACUGUGCUAAGGUAGCAUAAUCAUUAGCUUUCUAAUUAAAAGAUAGAAUGAACGGUUAAACGAAACUUUGACUGUUUCUUAUAUUUUAAAAUUAAAUUAAAUAAAUAGUAAAAAUCCUAUUACUUUAAAGAAAGACGAUAAGACCCUAUAAACUAAAUUCAUUUAGCUGGGGCGGCAAAAUAAAAACACCUUAAAAAAUAACUUAACCAAACAAAUAAAAUUUAUAUAGAAAUAGUUACUAUAGGGAUAACAGCGCUACUUUUUUUAAAAGCUCUUAUAAAAAAAAUUCCUACGACCUCGAUGUUGAAUUAUUUACACCUCAKUACAAAGCAAAAUUUAUUAUUAGGUAGUCUGUUCGACUAUUAAAACCAU